GAUGAACGCUGGCGGCGUGCUUAACACAUGCAAGUCGAACGGUGAACACGGAGCUUGCUCUGUGGGAUCAGUGGCGAACGGGUGAGUAACACGUGAGCAACCUGCCCCUGACUCUGGGAUAAGCGCUGGAAACGGCGUCUAAUACUGGAUAUGUGACGUGACCGCAUGGUCUGCGUUUGGAAAGAUUUUUCGGUUGGGGAUGGGCUCGCGGCCUAUCAGCUUGUUGGUGAGGUAAUGGCUCACCAAGGCGUCGACGGGUAGCCGGCCUGAGAGGGUGACCGGCCACACUGGGACUGAGACACGGCCCAGACUCCUACGGGAGGCAGCAGUGGGGAAUAUUGCACAAUGGGCGGAAGCCUGAUGCAGCAACGCCGCGUGAGGGAUGACGGCCUUCGGGUUGUAAACCUCUUUUAGCAGGGAAGAAGCGAAAGUGACGGUACCUGCA
This 445-nucleotide ribosomal RNA is filed under the name Microbacterium paraoxydans. RNAcentral's name for it is "bacterial SSU rRNA". It matches the Rfam family "Bacterial small subunit ribosomal RNA", at positions 28 to 483 of the family's 1533-position model. The record is from RNAcentral. Lineage: Bacteria; Bacillati; Actinomycetota; Actinomycetes; Micrococcales; Microbacteriaceae.